UACGUAGGGGGCAAGCGUUGUCCGGAUUUAUUGGGCGUAAAGAGCGUGUAGGCGGCCAUACAGGUCAGCUGUGAAAACUCGAGGCUCAACCUCGAGACGUCGGUUGAAACCGUAUGGCUAGAGUCCGGAAGAGGAGAGUGGAAUUCCCGGGUGAUAGCGGUGAAAUGCGCAGAUAUCGGGAAGAACACCCGUGGCGAAGGCGGCUCUCUGGGACGGUACUGACGCUGAGACGCGAAAGCGUGGGGAGCGAACGAGG
Molecule: ribosomal RNA, 256 nt
Filed under: uncultured bacterium
Lineage: Bacteria
Description: partial 16S ribosomal RNA
Rfam family: Bacterial small subunit ribosomal RNA
Source: RNAcentral